This 120-nucleotide ribosomal RNA is filed under the name Pteropus vampyrus (large flying fox). Lineage: Eukaryota; Metazoa; Chordata; Mammalia; Chiroptera; Pteropodidae. The record is from RNAcentral.
AUCUAUGACCAUGCCACCCUGAAUGUGCCCCAUCUCACCUGAUCUCAGAAGCUAAGCAGUGUCGGGCCUUGGAUAGUACUUGGAUAGGAGACUACCUAGGAAUACCAUGUGCUGUAUGCG